CUGUUCCUACGGGGCGCAGCAGUGGGGAAUAUUGCACAAUGGGGGAAACCCUGAUGCAGCGACGCCGCGUGGGUGACGAAGUAUUUCGGUAUGUAAAGCCCUAUCAGCAGGGAAGAAGAUGACAGUACCUGACUAAGAAGCCCCGGCUAACUACGUGCCAGCAGCCGCGGUAAUACGUAGGGGGCAAGCGUUAUCCGGAAUUACUGGGUGUAAAGGGAGCGUAGACGGCAAUGCAAGUUCGGAGUGGAAUGCGGCAGCUCAACUGCCGAACUGCUUUGGAAACUGUACAGCUAGAGUGCAGGAGG
RNAcentral lists this ribosomal RNA (305 nucleotides) under uncultured bacterium. Its description in RNAcentral is "bacterial SSU rRNA". It matches the Rfam family "Bacterial small subunit ribosomal RNA", at positions 333 to 655 of the family's 1533-position model. The record is from RNAcentral.